This 433-nucleotide ribosomal RNA is filed under the name uncultured bacterium. RNAcentral's name for it is "partial 16S ribosomal RNA". It matches the Rfam family "Bacterial small subunit ribosomal RNA", at positions 29 to 507 of the family's 1533-position model. The record is from RNAcentral.
AACGAACGCUGGCGGCAUGCCUAACACAUGCAAGUCGAACGAGACCUUCGGGUCUAGUGGCGCACGGGUGCGUAACGCGUGGGAACCUGCCCUUAGGUUCGGAAUAACUCCCCGAAAGGGGUGCUAAUACCGGAUAAGGUCUUAGGACCAAAGAUUUAUCGCCUUUGGAUGGGCCCGCGUUGGAUUAGCUAGUUGGUAGGGUAAAAGCCUACCAAGGCGACGAUCCAUAGCUGGUCUGAGAGGAUGAUCAGCCACACUGGGACUGAGACACGGCCCAGACUCCUACGGGAGGCAGCAGUGGGGAAUAUUGGACAAUGGGCGAAAGCCUGAUCCAGCAAUGCCGCGUGAGUGAUGAAGGCCUUAGGGUUGUAAAGCUCUUUUACCCGGGAUGAUAAUGACAGUACCGGGAGAAUAAGCUCCGGCUAACUCCGUG